Transfer RNA from Tetranychus urticae (two-spotted spider mite), 82 nucleotides. It matches the Rfam family "tRNA". From Rfam's summary of the family: Transfer RNA (tRNA) molecules are approximately 80 nucleotides in length. Their secondary structure includes four short double-helical elements and three loops (D, anti-codon, and T loops). Lineage: Eukaryota; Metazoa; Arthropoda; Arachnida; Trombidiformes; Tetranychidae. The record is from Rfam.
GAUCAGAUGGCCGAGUGGUUAAGGCGUUGGACUGCUAAUCCAAUGGGCAUUGCCCGCGUGGGUUCGAAUCCCAUUCUGAUCG